UUUCUAAUUUGGGAGUACAAUUUCCAUUUUAGUGUCUCCUUCACCUCCACCAUUUUAUUCUCCAUUUUUUUAUUUACACUUCUUUCAUAUAGUAUGAACCCAAUCAUCUCUGUUAUCUAUGUUUCCCAAUAGCAGUAGUAAUUUAAUGAUACAAUGAACCCAACUUCCUAAUAUUGCUACUCUCAACACGCACCCAAGGUAUAACCUGCUGGUCACUAGUCAAUGAAAUGGGUAAGGCCAUUGGAAACCAGGAUUAAAAUCCUAGAAGAGACAGAGACAGUAGGUAAUUGCUUUCGGUCUGCCUAAGUCUCAGUGGACCGUUACCUGAUCAAUUAGCCAAGAUCUGUGCAGGCUGAGCUGAAACCAUUUUUACAAAGAAAACAAGAUAUUGUUAUUCUCUUCUUGUGGAUUAAAAUGCGAUACACUAUUUGGUCCUUUCAUAUUUAGCUACACCUGUCUGAAAGAUUUUACAUUUGUUCGUUAUAUAUGUGGUACUGGAUAUUUGCUGCAAAGGUUGUGCAAUGGCUAAUCCUGAACUGGUACUGAAGAGGAAAAGAGAUUCCAAUUUCUGAAUGCACCAUUUAUGAGCUUGUGGAGGAGUGACCAACAUCAAAUCGAUGAAGAGGUGAAUAAUUUCUCGUGUAAAAGUAUAUUGAUAUAUUUGAGUAAAAUGAUGUUUCCUGAUUUUGAAUGAUAUUGUUGAACCUUAU
Capsicum annuum is the source of this 710-nucleotide long non-coding RNA. RefSeq lists it as uncharacterized. The transcript has 2 exons. NCBI's taxonomy places the organism in Eukaryota, Viridiplantae, Streptophyta, Magnoliopsida, Solanales, Solanaceae. The record is from RefSeq and is a predicted model, not a curated record.